CCUACGGGUGGCAGCAGUGGGGAAUAUUGGACAAUGGGCGAAAGCCUGAUCCAGCCAUGCCGCGUGUGUGAAGAAGGCCUUCGGGUUGUAAAGCACUUUCAGUGGGGAAGAAAGCCUUGGGGCUAAUACCCUCGAGGGAGGACAUCACCCACAGAAGAAGCACCGGCUAACUCCGUGCCAGCAGCCGCGGUAAUACGGAGGGUGCGAGCGUUAAUCGGAAUUACUGGGCGUAAAGCGCGCGUAGGCGGUCUGAUAAGCCGGUUGUGAAAGCCCCGGGCUCAACCUGGGAACGGCAUCCGGAACUGUCAGGCUAGAGUGCAGGAGAGGAAGGUAGAAUUCCCGGUGUAGCGGUGAAAUGCGUAGAGAUCGGGAGGAAUACCAGUGGCGAAGGCGGCCUUCUGGACUGACACUGACGCUGAGGUGCGAAAGCGUGGGUAGCAAACAGGAUUAGAUACCCCGGUAGUC
Molecule: ribosomal RNA, 465 nt
Filed under: Vreelandella stevensii
Lineage: Bacteria; Pseudomonadati; Pseudomonadota; Gammaproteobacteria; Oceanospirillales; Halomonadaceae
Description: partial 16S ribosomal RNA
Rfam family: Bacterial small subunit ribosomal RNA
Source: RNAcentral